AGCGGAGGAAAAGAAACCAACAGGGAUUGCCUCAGUAACGGCGAGUGAAGCGGCAAAAGCUCAGAUUUGAAAUCUGGCGUCUUCGGCGUCCGAGUUGUAAUCUGUAGAGGAUGCCUUUGGGUAGCCACCGGUCUAAGUCCCCUGGAACGGGGUGUCACAGAGGGUGAGAAUCCCGUAUGUGACCGGAAGGGCGCCCUAUACAUGGCUCCUUCGACGAGUCGAGUUGUUUGGGAAUGCAGCUCUAAAUGGGAGGUAAAUUCCUUCUAAAGCUAAAUACCGGCCAGAGACCGAUAGCGCACAAGUAGAGUGAUCGAAAGAUGAAAAGCACUUUGGAAAGAGAGUUAAAAAGCACGUGAAAUUGUUGAAAGGGAAGCGCUUGCAACCAGACUUGUUGGCGGUGUUCCGCCGGUCUUCUGACCGGUCUACUCACCGUCUGCAGGCCAGCAUCAUCUGGGACCGCUGGAUAAAAGCGGAGGGAAUGUGGCUCCUCCGGGAGUGUUAUAGCCCUCUGUGUAAUACAGCGAGUCCCGGGUGAGGUCCGCGCUUCGGCUAGGAUGCUGGCGUAAUG
RNAcentral lists this ribosomal RNA (568 nucleotides) under Leptoxyphium fumago. RNAcentral describes it as "eukaryotic LSU rRNA". It matches the Rfam family "Eukaryotic large subunit ribosomal RNA", at positions 49 to 636 of the family's 3401-position model. Lineage: Eukaryota; Fungi; Ascomycota; Dothideomycetes; Capnodiales; Capnodiaceae. The record is from RNAcentral.